UACGUAGGUGGCGAGCGUUGUCCGGAUUUACUGGGUGUAAAGGGCGCGUAGGCGGGGGAGCAAGUCAGAUGUGAAAUCCCCGGGCUUAACCCGGGAACUGCAUUUGAAACUGUAUUUCUUGAGUGAUGGAGAGGCAAGCGGAAUUCCUAGUGUAGCGGUGAAAUGCGUAGAUAUUAGGAGGAACACCAGUGGCGAAGGCGGCUUGCUGGACAUUAACUGACGCUGAGGCGCGAAAGCGUGGGGAGCAAACAGGAUUAGAUACCCUUGUAGUCCACGCCGUAAACGAUGAAUACUAGGUGUGGGGGGGCUGACCCCUUCCGUGCCGGAGUUAACACAAUAAGUAUUCCACCUGGGGAGUACGGCCGCAAGGUUGAA
This 375-nucleotide ribosomal RNA is filed under the name uncultured bacterium. Its description in RNAcentral is "bacterial SSU rRNA". It matches the Rfam family "Bacterial small subunit ribosomal RNA", at positions 524 to 898 of the family's 1533-position model. The record is from RNAcentral.